RNAcentral lists this ribosomal RNA (549 nucleotides) under uncultured bacterium. RNAcentral describes it as "bacterial SSU rRNA". It matches the Rfam family "Bacterial small subunit ribosomal RNA", at positions 355 to 896 of the family's 1533-position model. The record is from RNAcentral.
UAGGGAAUCUUCCGCAAUGGGCGAAAGCCUGACGGAGCAACGCCGCGUGAGUGAUGAAGGUCUUCGGAUCGUAAAACUCUGUUAUUAGGGAAGAACAUAUGUGUAAGUAACUGUGCACAUCUUGACGGUACCUAAUCAGAAAGCCACGGCUAACUACGUGCCAGCAGCCGCGGUAAUACGUAGGUGGCAAGCGUUAUCCGGAAUUAUUGGGCGUAAAGCGCGCGUAGGCGGUUUUUUAAGUCUGAUGUGAAAGCCCACGGCUCAACCGUGGAGGGUCAUUGGAAACUGGAAAACUUGAGUGCAGAAGAGGAAAGUGGAAUUCCAUGUGUAGCGGUGAAAUGCGCAGAGAUAUGGAGGAACACCAGUGGCGAAGGCGACUUUCUGGUCUGUAACUGACGCUGAUGUGCGAAAGCGUGGGGAUCAAACAGGAUUAGAUACCCUGGUAGUCCACGCCGUAACGAUGAGUGCUAAGUGUUAGGGGGUUUCCGCCCCUUAGUGCUGCAGCUAACGCAUUAAGCACUCCGCCUGGGGAGUACGACCGCAAGGUUG